Unclassified non-coding RNA from Callithrix jacchus (white-tufted-ear marmoset), 300 nucleotides. It matches the Rfam family "Metazoan signal recognition particle RNA". Rfam says of the family: The signal recognition particle (SRP) is a universally conserved ribonucleoprotein. It is involved in the co-translational targeting of proteins to membranes. The record is from Ensembl. Lineage: Eukaryota; Metazoa; Chordata; Mammalia; Primates; Cebidae.
GCCAGGCGUGGUGGCGUGUGCCUGCAGUCCCAGCUACUCAGGAGGCUGAGGCUGGAAGGUCACUUGGGCCCAGGAGUUCUGGGCUGCAGUGCCCUAUGCCAAUCAGGUGUCCGCACUAAGUCUGGCAUCGAUUUGGUCACCUCCCUGGAGUGGGGGUCCACCAGGUUGCCUAAGGAGGGGUGAACUGGCCCAGGUUGGAAACAGAGCAGGUCAGAACUCCCGUGCUGAUCAGUAGUGGGAUCGCGCCUGUGAAGAGCCACUGCAUUCCCACCUGAGCAACAUAGUGAGACCCUGUCUCUA